Molecule: ribosomal RNA, 406 nt
Filed under: uncultured bacterium
Lineage: Bacteria
Description: partial 16S ribosomal RNA
Rfam family: Bacterial small subunit ribosomal RNA
Source: RNAcentral
AUUGAACGCUGGCGGCAGGCCUAACACAUGCAAGUCGAACGAGUGGCGGACGGGAGAGUAAUGGCUGGGAAACUGCCUGAUGGAGGGGGAUAACUACCGGAAACGGUAGCUAAUACCGCAUACCAUCAGAUGUGCCCAGAUGGGAUUAGCUUGUUGGUGGGGGAACGGCUCACCAAGGCGACGAACCGCACCUGGUCUGAGAGGAUGACCAGCCACACUGGAACUGAGACACGGGCCAGACUCCUACGGGAGGCAGCAGUGGGGAAGAUUGGACAAUGGGCGAAAGCCUGAUGCAGCCAUGCCGCGUGUGUGAAGAAGGCCUGCGGGUUGUAAAGCACUUGCAGCGGGGAGGCGUUACCAACAGAAGAAGCACCGGCUAACUCCGUGCCAGCAGCCGCGGUAAUUC